Molecule: RNA transcript, 2648 nt
Organism: Hipposideros armiger (great roundleaf bat)
Lineage: Eukaryota; Metazoa; Chordata; Mammalia; Chiroptera; Hipposideridae
Gene name: Fc receptor-like protein 5
Exons: 4
Source: RefSeq, a predicted model, not a curated record
GUCUCGGCCCGUCCUCACCCUCAGGGCUCCCAGGGCCAAGGCUCUGGUGGGUGACAUGUUGGAGCUCCACUGUGAGGCCCAAACAGGCUCUCCUCCAAUUCUGUACCGGUUUUAUCAUGAGGAUGUGACCCUGGGGAGCAGCUCGGCCCCCUCAGGAGGAGGAGUGCCCUUCAGCCUCUCUCUGACUGCAGAACAUUCUGGAAACUACUGUGAGGCCAACAAUGGGCUGAGGCCCCAGCACUGUGAAUUAGUGCCACUCAGUGUCACAGGUGAGUUGACCCUGCCCACCAGUAGAACAAUUAAGGAGCUCUAGCACCUUUAUCACACUGUGUGACAUCCUGCCUACCUCCUGCCUAUAGAACCCCCACUGGGAUGUCUGGGGUCCUUCCUGUGGUUAUGGUUUCAGGAACCAGGAGCUUCCCAGCAGCCCCAUUAAACUGCCUUCUUGACUGAUCAAAACUCACUGAAAAUGCCAAGCACACUCUUUAGAACGUAGACUGUAUUCCGAUCUGCAGUUAUGACAUGACAGGGAAACCCAACGAUUCCGAGAGGGGGCUUCUCUGCUGCAAGGAAGGGGAGGCCCGUCCCCGUCUGGGUGCUCCUCUCAGCGACUCCCACGGGGCUCCCUGCUCUCGAGCGUCUUUCAUUACAAAGGAUGUAAGUGUGCCCCACAAUUCCACACUGGAAACCCUGUUAACAGGAGCUGUGUGCACAGCCUUUCAGGAGACACAGCCAGUCAAGUUAGUUCACAAAGUGGCCGUGAAAGCAGCGGGGACCCAGGGGGCCAGCACAGGAAAGGUGAGAACAGGAAGACGUGGAGUGGAAAUGGCCGCCCAGCAGUCAAGUCCCUCUGUUCGCAAAGCUGCCCUGUGACGUCGUGCCAUUAAGUGUGACAUCCAGAGGGAAGAAAGUGCUUCUUGUGAGGUCUGGAUCUGCUUUGUGAUGAUGGUCCCCUGUCAGCCGCAUGUCCAAGCCCCCAUUGAAGGAGACCUGGGGAAUAGCAUCGUCUGCUAAUGGCUGCUGAGAUGAAGGUUCGUCUAGUCUGAGCUCUGAAGAUAACUGGCCGUAUGAACUUGGCCAAGCAUAUUUCCUUAUGUUGACCUCGAUUUCCUCACCCAGAACAGGGAAAAUCAGACAUGAUGGAAAUAAUUGUCAUCCCCAGCCUUAGAAUUCUUUGAUUUUGGUGCACAGGGAAUAUGUGAGUUAUUCAGACUAAAAAUAUCACAGAAGGAGACAUGUCAAAGGAGAAACUGGGACUCUCCAAUCUGGGGACACCCCAGAGGAACAGGAGGCCAUGAAACGGCACGUUAGCACCUCGGAGGCCUGGGAGGGCUGACAGGGAGCAGAAGUGGCCAUGUGGCCACAAGCGUCACCGGGGUGCUGCUCAGCCUGGUGGGCCUGGCGGCUGUGGCACUGCUGUUCUAUUGGUGGCUCCCGGGAAGAGCAGGAGGGAGGCCUGCCUGUGAUGCCUCCAGGUGAAGAAACUGAGGCUUAGAGAGACAACAUAAGGUGGUUGACGAAGGACUAGCAUAGACUGUCCUGUGUCUCUUGGAUCAAUACAGUUGGUGAGAUGACAAUUUGGACAGGAAAUAUUAAACAUAGACGGACCCUUACUAAUCUGUAUCCCUCCAACCAGGAUGACACUGGGGGCUUGGACACAGGCCGUCACGGCGUACUGCUUUCCAUCCUGGCCCCAGGGUGUUUGGGAGUUAAGGUGAGUUAUAUAAUCUGAGGCUGCCCAUAGCCUCCAGAUGUCUCUCUGGAUAAUGGGUAUGUUUGUGGUCAGUACAGGAGCCACAAACCCUUCUGGUUUGGGGAGCUGUGCCCCUGUAGUAUAAUCAAUCAAAGACACUGAGGUGGGAGUCUGGUAACGGACAGCUUGUGGCUAUUGGAUAGGCACAGUCCCUCCAUUUGAUAUGACCGUCAUUGUUGGGGGAAGGGCUUUGGGUGCACAGAGGGAGCUUCUUGGGGCUGACCUCCUGACGGUCCUGUAAAAGUUAACUGUGAUCUGUGUUUUAGGUAUGGAUUCUGUCUAUCUUUCCCUGAACCUGUUUUUGUUAUGUUUUCCAAAUGGAGGCAUCCCGUCAUGGGUGUUUGGGAGGCACAAAGUGGAGGAAGCCGGGACAGAACAACAUAAUUAAAGGCUGUCUGUUGAAGGGUUAUGUUUUUUGUCCUGCCUCCAAGUGGGAUGGAAGAAUUAAUCCAAACUAGGACUUGCUUGUCUUCCCACAUUACGGGAGCAAGCGCUGGGGGGUUUGGGAAGUACGUCCAAUACGUGUCCCCCCGUGUUAUACUUACCUGCCAUGUCAGAAUAACCAGUAUUGUAAUUAGGAACUUAUUAACCUGUUUCCAGGUCUCGGCCGAUCUCUUCCUCGCCCUCCUGGACUGUUUGCUGUCUGGUUUCUCCAUGGUGCUGUUUGACUAGGCGUUCUGGAAGCCACUGAGGACCAUCUGCUGUCCUAGGAAAACCACAAACAUGUCCUCUCCCCCACACCAGGACCGGAUCCGGUCCAUGCCAACUACCCAUGAGGGGGUCUUUCCAGCGGACGAGAGCCUCCGCAGCAGGACUGGGAUUCCAGAUACGAUCUGCUGCAGAGUGACCUUGAGCAUCCGUUUGUAAAAAAUUUAAAGUGAAAGUUCAUGGUUUA